RNAcentral lists this long non-coding RNA (227 nucleotides) under Ursus americanus (American black bear). RNAcentral's name for it is "lncRNA (ENSUAMG00000022194.1)". The record is from RNAcentral. Lineage: Eukaryota; Metazoa; Chordata; Mammalia; Carnivora; Ursidae.
CUUUUUCAGACCUUAACAAAUGCCUCAAAAUUACUAAAACAAGAUUUACUAUUGGCUCCUUCAUGCCUGUCUCAGAACAAACACAAUCUGCAUUCAGAACAGGACCGUUUACAAGUUCAAUGGAGUUAUUUUGGAAGAAACCAAGAAUCUCAUCAAUGACCACUGAGGAAUAAACUAUAAAACAGCUAAGGAAUUCCAAAGGAUUCACCAGAAGAAAAGAAUUAUUC